RNAcentral lists this unclassified non-coding RNA (315 nucleotides) under uncultured Tricholoma. RNAcentral describes it as "sequence contains ITS2". The stretch from base 1 to 52 matches the Rfam family "5.8S ribosomal RNA", at positions 103 to 154 of the family's 154-position model. Lineage: Eukaryota; Fungi; Basidiomycota; Agaricomycetes; Agaricales; Tricholomataceae. The record is from RNAcentral.
AACGCACCUUGCGCUCCUUGGUAUUCCGAGGAGCAUGCCUGUUUGAGUGUCAUAAAAUUCUCAACCUUUUCAAUCUUUUAUUGGUUGAAUUAGGUUUGGAUGUGGGAGUCUUUUGCUGGCUUCUUCAAGAGGUUGGCUCUCCUCAAAUUUAUUAGCAGGACCUUUGUUGCUGUCUCAGUGUUAGUGUGAUAAUUAUCUACGCUAUUUUGCUGAAAGCAACUCAUAAAAUAGGGUUUCCAGCUUCUAAUCGUCUCUUGUAGACAAUUUAUAUGACAAUUUGACCUCAAAUCAGGUAGGACUACCCGCUGAACUUAA